This 253-nucleotide ribosomal RNA is filed under the name uncultured bacterium. RNAcentral's name for it is "partial 16S ribosomal RNA". It matches the Rfam family "Bacterial small subunit ribosomal RNA", at positions 524 to 776 of the family's 1533-position model. The record is from RNAcentral.
UACGUAGGGUGCGAGCGUUAAUCGGAAUUACUGGGCGUAAAGCGUGCGCAGGCGGUUUUGCAAGCCGGAUGUGAAAUCCCCGGGCUUAACCUGGGAAUGGCAUUUGGGACUGCAAGGCUGGAGUGUGGCAGAGGAGACUGGAAUUCCUGGUGUAGCAGUGAAAUGCGUAGAUAUCAGGAGGAAUACCGAUGGCGAAGGCAGGUCUCUGGGCUGACACUGACGCUCAUGCACGAAGGUCAGGGGAGCAAACGGG